Molecule: non-coding RNA, 144 nt
Organism: Gossypium raimondii (Peruvian cotton)
Lineage: Eukaryota; Viridiplantae; Streptophyta; Magnoliopsida; Malvales; Malvaceae
Source: Rfam
UGUUAAAAAUUCCAAUCAUUUUUACUGUUUAAAACUGUUGUGAAUGACAGAAUAACAAAAGAAUUACACAUGGCAUGUCUCGUGUACCUCAUAUGGCCUACAGUGGCUAGUUUUCAAUAGUUGAAUUGGAUGAACUUUUUAAUA